Daktulosphaira vitifoliae (grape phylloxera) is the source of this 2166-nucleotide long non-coding RNA. RefSeq lists it as uncharacterized. The record is from RefSeq and is a predicted model, not a curated record. The transcript has 5 exons. NCBI's taxonomy places the organism in Eukaryota, Metazoa, Arthropoda, Insecta, Hemiptera, Phylloxeridae.
AAUAAAUGUAAAGCGCAUGACUCAUUGAUUUGAAAAAAUAUGACGGUCCCGCUAUUUGUUAUUUGUGUAGAGUACUUUUUUAUUUAAAAAUAUUAUUUGCUAAAAUAUAACAUUUGUGCGAGUGUAAAAACUCGUUUAGUUUCAGUAAUCAAACAUUAAUAAGUGUUAAAUUUUUGUUUUCUACGCGUUUAUUCACACACGAUUAUUUAAACGGAGAGAGCGGAAUUUUAUUGUUUAGUUAUAAUGCCUGUUGCUGACAUCUUAAAAUAUUAAUUUACUCGAUUAUUUUUGAUAUAAAUAGUAAUUAUUAAAAAUAGAGACUAUCGCGAUCACGUGUUAAGUUGCCGUUCGCUAUUGUUUAUGAGUGUUUCGUAAAAUGUUUUAAUAUAAUAUCGUUUAGUUAGAAAUCUAUUGCAGAAGAAUAGUCCCUAUUUUCGUCGAGGUGGACGUCAUUUUAUUAUUGUCGAAAAAUAAACACACGCAGUGGUUAGGUGUGAUGUACAUGAAACUGUUCCAAGUACAUAAUUCAAACUAAGAUUAUAAAUCAGAAAUAUUAUUAGCUAUAACUCAUAUUUGACACAUAUCACGUGACGAGACUCUUGUUGACUUCCAACUACAUUAUUUUGUGACACAAACCUGUAAUUGGACAUUCGUAGUUUAUGUGUAAUAAAAUAUUGUUGCAGUUAUCUUUCUGAAGCUUCAACAAUCUGGAGACGUACAACAGCAACAGCUGGAAAGUAUAAGUUGAUGUAUUAUGUUAAUAUUUUUAAUGAGACCAAUAAAUAAUGAAGAGGUUAUUACUAUGACGAUGUUUCAAUGCGCUGAUAGAACUGUAGAAGUACUAAUGAUUAUACAUGGAGUAUAAAAACAAAUAAUAUUCCACUAAACAAUUUCAAAAAUGCCUAAGAGUCAAAUUUAUAACUUAACAUAAAUUGAAAUUUGCCAAUAUUAUCAUAGAUUGUAAAUGAAAAGACAUGUUAGAAAAAAUUAGCAAUUGUCAUCAUCAUUUAUUGAAGGCAAUGGAUAAAAAUAAAUAUAUAUAGUACUUACGAAACAAAAUUGUGUUUAUUCAUAAAAUUAAAAUUAUGUUAUGGCAGAUUAAAGAUGAAGAAAUAAAAUAUGAAAAAAAUAUUUUAGAUACAAAAAUAGCAAGAUUACCUUUUGGUGUAAAAGUUGCUAUUUUACAUUAUAAACGUUUUUGUAAAAUAUCAUUUAAAAUAUUAUCAAGCAAUAACUUUUAAAAACUACUUUAAUUAUAAUAAUCUAUUUUUUUUCCUUCUCUUUAAUUUUACUAUUAUGGUUUUUUUUUGUGUAUGUUAACACUUUUUUUCAGCUCUCAUCAUAAAUGAUUUUUUUUAACAGUACGUUAAAACAUCACAAAUGGUAUGUUAUCAAAGAAAUUGACCUUACAAUUGAAAAAAUUUCCCCCGUUCCCUUUAUAUUGGGCAAAUCCCCGCGAAAAUAACAAAUUUAAAAAUCGCUAAUUUUCGAAUUUUUUUUCUCUUUUUUUAUCUUAAAACUGCCAUAACUUUUAAAAAUAAUUUUUUUUCUUUUAAAACCUUGGGCAUUUCUUUUUUAUAUGAUCUCAUUUUAUGAUAUCACAACAACUAAUCUUCUAUGUACAAAUUUAAUUUGCUAUAACUUUAUGUCAAUUUACGUCAAAGGAACACGAUUUUAUCUUCUAUGUGCACAAAUGGCCGUCAAAGCUGCACAAAAAAUAGGAGUUCAUUUUGCUUUUGGAAUAAUCUACCAAUAUCUUAAAAUUAAUCACUAUCUACAGAUUUGCAUCGUAGCGUUUUUUAUGAUAGUGAUUUGUAGAUAAAAGUUAGAUUUUUCGUUAAAUUCGAUGAGCAUUUCCCCAUAGAAGAAAAGGUAUCGGGAAAAUUUUUUUUUUUUUUUGAACUUAAAUUAUAUAAUAUAACCUUUAAUUUGACAUAUAUUUAAAGCUCGGAAUAUUUCCGGAACAUUUUCAAAAAUUAAAUUGAAUAAGUUCUACAUUUACUCGCAAGAUUUCAAGUUUUUAACCCCAAUGUAUAAAAGAAAAUGGCACAAUUUAAAGAAAAAUAGGUCGAACGAAAGGUAUAUUUAAUUUUUUUUAGAAACAAACAUUUGUAUUGAUAAAAUUUUCUACUUAAAUUUGAAAGUGUUCCGGAAAUAUUGACACUU